Molecule: ribosomal RNA, 496 nt
Filed under: uncultured bacterium
Lineage: Bacteria
Description: partial 16S ribosomal RNA
Rfam family: Bacterial small subunit ribosomal RNA
Source: RNAcentral
GAUGAACGCUGGCGGCGUGCCUAAUACAUGCAAGUCGAGCGAACAGACGAGGAGCUUGCUCCUCUGACGUUAGCGGCGGACGGGUGAGUAACACGUGGAUAACCUACCUAUAAGACUGGGAUAACUUCGGGAAACCGGAGCUAAUACCGGAUAAUAUAUUGAACCGCAUGGUUCAAUAGUGAAAGACGGUUUUGCUGUCACUUAUAGAUGGAUCCGCGCCGCAUUAGCUAGUUGGUAAGGUAACGGCUUACCAAGGCAACGAUGCGUAGCCGACCUGAGAGGUGAAUCGGCCACCCUGGAACGGAAACCGGGCCCAACCCCCAAGGGGGGGAAGAAGGGGGAAAUUUGCCGAAAGGGGGGAAAGCCGGACGAGGCAAAGCGCGGGGGUGGAUAAGGGUUUUGGGUUCUAAAACCUUUUUUUUUGGGAAAAAAAAAAGGUGAAAGAAACCAGGCCGUUCUGGAGGGUCCCAAAGAAGAAGGCCCCGCCAAACUAGGU